RNAcentral lists this small RNA (83 nucleotides) under Nannospalax galili (Upper Galilee mountains blind mole rat). Its description in RNAcentral is "7SK RNA (ENSNGAG00000007759.1)". It matches the Rfam family "7SK RNA", at positions 13 to 95 of the family's 331-position model. Rfam says of the family: 7SK was discovered as an abundant small nuclear RNA in the mid-70s but a possible function has only recently been suggested. Two independent studies have found that 7SK RNA binds the CDK9/cyclin T complex (known as elongation factor P-TEFb). Lineage: Eukaryota; Metazoa; Chordata; Mammalia; Rodentia; Spalacidae. The record is from RNAcentral.
GGUUUGGCUACAAUACCUGUCACCCCUAUGAUCACCAGGCCUGAUUUGGCUGAUUUGGCUGGCUAGGACAGUAUCCUCUUCCU